GACGAACGCUGGCGGCGUGCUUAACACAUGCAAGUCGAACGGAAAGGCCCUGCUUUUGUGGGGUGCUCGAGUGGCGAACGGGUGAGUAACACGUGAGUAACCUGCCCUUGACUUUGUGAUAACUUCAGGAAACUGGGGCUAAUAUCGGAUAGGAGCUCCUGCUGCAUGGUGGGGGUUGGAAAGUUUCGGCGGUUGGGGAUGGACUCGCGGCUUAUCAGCUUGUUGGUGGGGUAGUGGCUUACCAAGGCAUUGACGGGUAGCCGGCCUGGGAGGGUGACCGGGCACAUGGGGACUAAGAGACGGCGCAGACUGCUACGGGAGGCAGCAGUGGGGAAUAUUGCACAAUGGGCGGGAGCCUGAUGCAGAGACGCCGCGUGCGGGAUGACGGCCUUCGGGUUGUAAACCGCUUUGGCCUGUGACGAAGCGUGAGUGACGGUAAUGGGUAAAGAAGCACCGGCUAACUACGUG
Molecule: ribosomal RNA, 468 nt
Filed under: uncultured bacterium
Lineage: Bacteria
Description: partial 16S ribosomal RNA
Rfam family: Bacterial small subunit ribosomal RNA
Source: RNAcentral